RNAcentral lists this unclassified non-coding RNA (1747 nucleotides) under Leishmania donovani. RNAcentral describes it as "gene:LdHU3.30.0820(CDS-product:ribosome_biogenesi s_regulatory_protein_(RRS1)_putative)". The record is from RNAcentral. Lineage: Eukaryota; Euglenozoa; Kinetoplastea; Trypanosomatida; Trypanosomatidae.
UGUCCGCCUCGCCUCCCAUACCUUAAGACAGACGCAAUGAGUGAGUAUCAGCUAGAUGUCGGUCUCUUGACAGUGACGGAUGUGUCCACCGUGAGUGGGCCAAUGCGCCGCGAAGAGGAUCUCAUGAGCUCAUGCACAAAUGCACUCAAGGCACUUCUCGGCGAGUUUGUCGAUUUACCGACGGAGGUAAAGAAGACGAAGUACGAGAGUGCGACGACCUUAGUACAGCUGCCGCAGCCGGUGAUGCAGCUGCCUCGCGAGAAGGCGCCGCCAAAGACGAAGCCGCUCACCGCAUGGCAGAAGUUUGCGCUCAAGAAGGGUAUCGACAUUCACCGCAAGAAGGCGAACCGCGUCUUUGACGAGGAUCGCCAGGUGUGGAAGGACAAGUGGGGCAAGCGUGCUCGCGAGGACCGCGACAAGUACGACUGGCUGCGCGAGGUGAAGCCUGGGUACAUGCCUGCCGAGGAUGGCGGCGACCCGUUCCUGGAUGACCGCCGCGCGAAGCAGGCUCGCCUAGAAAAGCAGAAGAAGAAGGAGGAGCACAACAAGCGCCGCUCCGAGCACCUGAUGCAGGCGCAGGAGGAGGUGAAGCACCUUUCGGCAGCUGCGCGAAACCUCGCCACGGCGUCCAACGGCAAGUUCGAAAAGACAAAGAAGUUUAAGAAGAACACAAAGCGUCUCGCUUGAGCCUCCCGGGAUCACAAGUGCGUCGUGGCGGGAGUAGGGUGUGCCGCGAGCGUAUCUCAUUUGCGCCUGCUUUUCUUAAUGAAGUCGUGCGCUUUCUUGCUCGCCACCUCUCCCCGUGGCGCAGAAGCUAGGCGGCCUUGUGUGUGCGCGCGCUUGCACGUGCGUGCGUGUGAUGUGAGGAGGAAAGGGCUGCACUCUCUCUCUGUCUCAUUACAGGCACUGACAGAGGUCUUACACCCUCACCUGCGUUCUCCUGCCCACAACAGGGAUAUUGUGGGUGCUCGACGCACAUACUUGCACGCAGACGCACUCCGCUGCGCGUUAGGCAGCAAGCGAACGGGAGAGGAGAGCAAGGCGCCGACCACUGUGACGAUGCUUGACAGAAGCGUUUUUCUUUUCUUUCUUCACUCCCCAUUGGUAACUCGAAUAAUGCGUUCCCUUUUGUUUUGUGUAUGUGUUGGUCGUUCUUGACAUUAUGAGGUAAACCACCGCACAUCGCACGCACGGCAUGAGUGGCACGCCCACUGGCGAAGCACAUGUUGGGCAUCGUGACGCAGCGGAGACUACUUGACGAUAGCGUGGUCUGGGGCGGAGAGCGUGAGACUCAGGUGCAAGCGCGGCUGCGCAAAGUGCGCCCGUCUUUCUUUUGUGACUUCUACGGCCACCUUUGACGUGCUCGUAGACCUCAAGAGGCGAAGCUUCGCACCUGCCGGUGGCCCAUGGCUCCGCGGGUGCAGGUGCCCACUGCUUCUUUUCGCCUUUUAUCUAUGCUCGUUAGACAACUGCAACGCCUUGCUUCACUGUGUGUCUGUAAAUCUGACUGCGCUUCUUUGGCAUUUACGCCGCGCGCACAAAAGCGGCUAGGUAAGAGCGAGCGCAUCACGCGCGCACAGCACUCAGGGCGGCUGAGAUCUCUUUCCGCACGCCCACGUGCUGGCGCGUCUUUUUCGUAUGUGCUUGGCUGUAUUUUCAGCAUCCACGGGCACUGCGAGCGUAACCACGCGCUUGAAGUCACCGCUGCGGUCAGUGCGUGCACAAAUCUGCUUUUUCCCUCUCUCAG